UGCCAGCAGCCGCGGUAAUACAGAGGUCUCAAGCGUUGUUCGGAAUCACUGGGCGUAAAGGGUGCGUAGGUGGCGUGGUAAGUCAGAUGUGAAAGCCCGGGGCUCAACCUCGGAAUUGCAUCCGAUACUGCCGUGCUAGAGUACUGAAGAGGUGACUAGAAUUCUCGGUGUAGCAGUGAAAUGCGUAGAUAUCGAGAGGAAUACCAACGGCGAAGGCAGGUCACUGGGCAGUUACUGACACUGAGGCACGAAGGCCAGGGGAGCAAACGGGAUUAGAUACCCCGGUAGUCCUGGCAGUAAACGGUGCACAUUUGGUGUGGGCGCAAUCGACCGCGUCCGCGCCGGAGCUAACGCGUUAAAUGUGCCGCCUGGGAAGUACGGUCGCAAGAUUAAAACUUAAAGAAAUUGACGG
Molecule: ribosomal RNA, 412 nt
Filed under: uncultured Verrucomicrobiaceae bacterium
Lineage: Bacteria; Pseudomonadati; Verrucomicrobiota; Verrucomicrobiia; Verrucomicrobiales; Verrucomicrobiaceae
Description: bacterial SSU rRNA
Rfam family: Bacterial small subunit ribosomal RNA
Source: RNAcentral